UACGAAGGGUGCAAGCGUUAAUCGGAAUUACUGGGCGUAAAGCGUGCGUAGGCGGUUUCUUAAGUCUGCUGUGAAAGCCCCGGGCUCAACCUGGGAAUGGCGGUGGAUACUGAGAAGCUGGAGUACGGUAGAGGAAGGUGGAAUUCCCGGUGUAGCGGUGAAAUGCGUAGAGAUCCGGAAGAACACCGGUGGCGAAGGCGGUCUGCUGGGGUAAUGCUGACACUGAGGCGCGACAGCGUGGGGAGCAAACAGG
This 253-nucleotide ribosomal RNA is filed under the name uncultured bacterium. Its description in RNAcentral is "partial 16S ribosomal RNA". It matches the Rfam family "Bacterial small subunit ribosomal RNA", at positions 524 to 776 of the family's 1533-position model. The record is from RNAcentral.